CAGCCAGUUUUACCGGCGCUAUUUCACGGCCGUCUCGCCACAAGGGGAGUGGCUCGCCUGGAUACCCUGCCAGCACCGCAUCACGCUGCUGGAGCAGCUGAUGCAGUGGCAGACCCCCGCCAUGACCGACGAGCAGUACCACUCCCACACCUGAAGCGCCGGUCACCGCUUUCUGAGUAAUGGUGCGUUUCACCAGCCAGCCGGGUCCUCCGCUGGCUUUUUU
This 223-nucleotide small RNA is filed under the name Chimaeribacter coloradensis. RNAcentral's name for it is "SgrS RNA". The record is from RNAcentral. Lineage: Bacteria; Pseudomonadati; Pseudomonadota; Gammaproteobacteria; Enterobacterales; Yersiniaceae.